UGAUAUUCAGUUUAUUCAGAAUUUUUCAAUAAUCUAUUGCUCAAUUCAAAACGGUGACUUCACCAUAAAAUUCAGGAAUUACUGAAAAUUUGACCCAAUUACAACCCAUGAAGCAACAUACAAAUCAUCUACCAAAAUUCUACUCAAAAGUGAAAGAUCACUUCCUGAACUAUAAAAACUCAACUAUGCAUGAUCCAAAGAGGCAAAAACUCUGUACUUCUUCAAAUAAUAUAUAUCCUCUCUCAAGAAGCCAACAUUGAAACAAUACAAACCAAGAGAAUGAUCACCAUCACAGCCCAAACCCAAUAAACCCAGGCCUUCCUCUUCUCCUUCAUCUGCGUGGCAUAGUAAAGAUUGUUGGUUCCUCCACUGAGAAAGUUUCCUGCCUUUGCCACAUUUUCUUCAAUAUCAUCCAUCUUCUCUCCUUGUGUUUCAACAAUAACAGCCAUAUCAAGAAACACCUGGUGCAGCUUUGUCAAGCUUCUCUUUAUGUCCAUCAGAACCUCAUGCCUCUCUUUAUCAUUCACAUCUACCCCUGCUCCUGCAAAUUUUUGAACUUCCCCACCUCCCGAAAUGAUCUGUUCGAUGACUUCCUCGCUGGGUUCCUCUCCUGUUGCAGUAUAGUACCGUCUCUUGAAAUCAGCUUUGUAAUCUGAUAAAAUCCGCUCUCUCAGGAGCUGAAACUCGUUCAUCAUCUCCCUCAGUUUAACCCUCAUGCCAUUGGUGACUGAUAUCCUUGUCCUAUCAACAGGACUACCUUCUUUAUAUAGUUCUGAUAUCCUGCGAUUGUUUUCAUUGGAUCGAUCAAGUGACUCUAGCCUUGCUUUGAUAACCUUGGCCUUUCUAAGAACAGUAACAACGUCUGAUUUCAUUCUGUCUCUCAGGCCACGAAGAACUUUGGCACUAUGAGUGGACUUAGACUCUUGAUCAAGGGCAUUGAGAUCAAUCAAGAGAUUAGUGAUCUCUUCCAUUUCAGCCUUGAUUGCCGCAACUUCUCGGAAGAACUGAGAUAGGUUUGGUUCAUCUGCAGGGUUGAGACAGCCAGAUUCCACGUCAAGUUCGAGUUCAAAAUCCUUCUGGGCUUUCUUUUUCAGUUCCACAUAACUUAAGAACGAUUCUGUCAUUAAGUCAUUCAUCUUUGCAAAAAUUUUGCAAAAACCCUCCGUCAAAGCAGAUUCAAGAUGCUUGAGAUAUUACACAAAGUUCUCGAGUAACACUACACAAAAAGGAAAGAAUGGACGUCAGAUUCUGCAAAAACCAUGAAAUUGUCUGGUUUUAAAGAUGGUUUUGAAAUGAAAAGAAAAAAGAAAAAUCAACCCAUCGAUCUUGGGAAGUAAAAGGGUAUUCUGAAUCGCAAAUAAACCAAGAAAAUUCAGAAACAUACAAAGAGAGAACCUUGGAUAAACUGAUACCUCUGCUCUGUCUUUCUUCUGAUGCGUGAUUAAAGCCAAAGGAAAGAGUAUCAAUGGAUAAGGAACGCUUGAAAUUUGGAGUUUAAAGAGAGUGAGGAAUCGAAGGAGAUGGUCAGUUUUCUUAUAAGAGAGUUUUCAAAAGAAUUCAAAAUUCAGUUGCGCAGGAAUGGUAGCCGUUAAACUACGAAGCCGCUGCAACUCCCCAGAUUUGCUCGGUAACGCACCCUCCACGAAACGACAGCGUUUUACAGCGAAGAAAACAAAAAGGUAGAACCAUUUUACAUAUCAUGGUAAUAGUAUAUUUUAAAUUAAACCCAAUGCAUAAAUUGAUUAUUGAUUGUACUUGUGGUGUCAACUCAAAUUUUUAUUUCAACUUAGCAAAUAUUUUAACUUUUAUUUUUAUAUUUAUUAAAAACUAAGUUAUCUGGUUAACGAAUCAAGUCGAUCGGUACAUACGCAUAGACACAAAAGUGUUGACAUGGUUCUUUUGACAAUACUAAACAAGC
Molecule: unclassified non-coding RNA, 1918 nt
Filed under: Hevea brasiliensis (rubber tree)
Lineage: Eukaryota; Viridiplantae; Streptophyta; Magnoliopsida; Malpighiales; Euphorbiaceae
Source: RNAcentral